CCAAACGCGUGACCUCGCACGAAAAGUCCCGUAUUAUAAAAGAAGCAUUUCGUGCUGGAAGAAGGACAGAACGCCCAAUAUCAUCAAACCAUCGGCUGGAUCAUGAGAACCGUGGCAAAAAUCCUCUUGCUCUUGCUUCUCUUGUUUGGAGUAAUGCAAGAAGCGAUCUGCUAUAAAAGAAUACUACGUAAAAGAAACGUACGCCGUACUUCUGUGAUGUUAAAAAAUGCUCGGGAAUGUCGCUUCAAGGAUAGAACUACCCAGAGUUGCCGCAGUCGUGAGCGAAGAUUUCUUCAGAUCUGAGGAAAGUGUGUACGCUCAUCUUGAAAAAUGCGAAGCUGCUCUCUUGGACAAGAAUUAGAACACAUUAUAACGUAAACAUUGAAAAGAAAUGAAAAAGGAUGAAUGGAUGAUUUUAGCUGAUUUAAAAAUGCGCAUUGAUACAAGUAGAAGAAAGAUGUAAUCAAAUAAAAGUUGAAAAAUUGUA
This is a long non-coding RNA of Xenia sp. Carnegie-2017, 487 nucleotides long. RefSeq lists it as uncharacterized. The transcript has 2 exons. The record is from RefSeq and is a predicted model, not a curated record. NCBI's taxonomy places the organism in Eukaryota, Metazoa, Cnidaria, Anthozoa, Malacalcyonacea, Xeniidae.